This is a long non-coding RNA of Ictalurus punctatus (channel catfish), 1080 nucleotides long. The record is from Ensembl. NCBI's taxonomy places the organism in Eukaryota, Metazoa, Chordata, Actinopteri, Siluriformes, Ictaluridae.
GAACAACAAUAAUAAUAAUAAUAAGAAGAAAACGAAGAAGAAGAAGAAUUAAAGAACCAGGAGAAAGGGACAGACAGCCAGAGCUGGCUGUGGCAGGAACAAGGGAGCAGGGGGAAAGGGUGAAGAAGAGAUGGGACUUCAUGGGCUUUUGUGAAAGCUUGAAAGAAUGGAAGCAGCUCCAAAAUAAAAAGCAGAACAGGGAGUCCCUGCAAUCCCCCUGGUACAAUGCGUGGUGUGGUGCCCCCUGGAGGUGGAUAUCACUGAUGAUAAACAUGCUCCCCCAUGGCCUUGCUCACGCGUGCCAGGCCAUCGAGGAGGAGCAGGACAACGACAGAGAGGAGAGGAUCUUGGCUAUCCUGGGAAUAGUUGGCACCAUUCUCAACCUGCUGGUGGUCAUCUUUGUCUACAUCUACACCACCAUCUGAAAACUGGAGUGGGAGAAGAGCCAUCCAAAGAUCUGAGAGGGAAAAGACUGGAAAGAUUUGGAUUAGUAUAUACACUCAGUGAGGACAGGAGAAGAUGAGAAGAAUGGACUAAUGGACUACUUCAUUUUCCAAAAUAUAAAUAUCAUUCACAAUCAUCAUUCAUGCAAAGUAAAUCUGAAUAGUGUCCACCAUUUUCACCAUUAAUUUAAAAAAACUCCAUGUUUGAACUAUUACGUUUGAAUUAUUAUCUUUGAAUGCUUUACUUACUAAGUUGUGUUGUAAAUAUUUGACCAAUGGCAUGGCGUUCUACUGUAUUUCUCAUGGCAUGGCAUUCUAAUCUAUUUCUUAUGCAAUUGAUUGAUUGAUUAGUGACGGUUAAGCGUUUGCCAACUUUAACGAUAACCCUUUCAACAAGAAGCACUGCAGAUAAUGGAGGCAUCUGCUCAGGACACAGUUGCAACACUUGCUGGAUGUCUUACUUUGAGCAAAUCUGUUAAAAGGAGGGACAUUUCCCUGAAAUAUGCAAACAGGACAGCAUCCUCCGGCUCCAUAUACACUACUAGAGGAAUAAAUAUCAACAUGUACUUUAUACUUCAUGAGCUUUUCUCGACUAACAAAGUUGACAAAACGUGAUAUUGAGAUUCCUAUAUGGAAG